GACAAUUUCAGAAUGUGUAGGGCUCUAAUGCCUGGAGAAGAAGAAAGCAUGAAUGAUGAAUCGAUAUGGGAGACAUUACCUGUGAGUUUUGUUAACUUGAAGAGCUGUUGAAGUCCUUUAGCAAUUGUUUUUGGGCUUAUUUCUUCUCUUCCCCUCCCUCUCCCUCUUCAUCCCCAAAAAAGGUAAAACAAAAAAGAAAAAAAGGUUGCAUUAUAGUUUAUUAAAGAGUACAAAAUGCUUGAAUAAUCAUACUUGUGAAAGUAAAACUUUAUCAACUCUAUAAAUAUGCACUUGUAAUCCUCUCUUUUACAGCAAAUAUUAUGACCAAGGGAUGGGAGAGCUUGAUGAGCUGACUUAGGUGGGCUGACUGAAAUGGGCAGGGCAGUAUUCUGUUA
This 395-nucleotide unclassified non-coding RNA is filed under the name Hevea brasiliensis (rubber tree). The record is from RNAcentral. Lineage: Eukaryota; Viridiplantae; Streptophyta; Magnoliopsida; Malpighiales; Euphorbiaceae.